Salmo salar (Atlantic salmon) is the source of this 1178-nucleotide long non-coding RNA. RefSeq lists it as uncharacterized. Lineage: Eukaryota; Metazoa; Chordata; Actinopteri; Salmoniformes; Salmonidae. The record is from RefSeq and is a predicted model, not a curated record.
AAUGUAAUCUAAUUUUAAUAUACCGUGUAUUUCAUUUCCAAAUCGUUCUGGGAUGGGAGCUGUGUCGUCACGUCAGACUCUCAUUUGCAUAUUGCCCAGUAUAUCUCCUAUGCUUGCGCAAGGGCGCGACACAUUGCUGCAACGCAAAGCCUGGAGAAGUACAACUAGUCAAUCAGUCCAACUUUGACACUUCGCAAUCAUGUCUGACAAGCCAAAUCUCGAGGAGGUCGCCAGCUUCGACAAGACCAAGCUGAAAAAGACCGAAACGCAGGAGAAGAAUCCGCUGCCGACUAAAGAAACCAUUGAACAGGAGAAGCAGGCGUCAUCGUGAAGACCAUCCCUCCAUCAUGCACUGUACACCCCCUCCUCCUCCAUUGCCUUCUUUUCACUCACUUCUUUUUAGCUGUAUAACUUGUCAAGAAAAACCCCCACCAACAACACAAAGCUGCACUGCGAUGGAUGACCAUCCAUGUCCAGGCGCUGACCCCGCCCCUCCACCAAUAGAGGAGCAGGCCCUAGCCAGGCCAGGAAUGAGGAAGUACUACCAACCAACCAGGGGCGGUAUGGUGGAUGGGGCCCAAAGGUGUGGGGUGUGGUGUCCAAACAUCGAUACGGGGUAGAGAGGGCUACAGGAUGGGGGCGUGGUAUUGGAUCUAGGAAGUUACAUCCCUCGUUCGACAUCCAAUUUCCUGUGUGGCCUCUUGUCGACCUGGUAACACACGCCCCAACCAUGUCCGGCUUUUUUUUCAUUUCCUUUUCGGGGAAAAUGCACAACCUUUUUUUGUUUUUACGCUGGUAAUAUGAUUAACAUACCCAUCGGUUAAUACAAGUUUUCUGUCAGAUAUUUUUUUAUCGAACCAAGGAUGAAAAAACAGAAUCCAUCUAGUCUUCGAAGAUACUCGUGUGGAUUUUAUUUACAUUGAUGUUUUUAAAGCGUUAUUGUACGUUGACCUUUUUUAGCGAUGUGAUUUGGGAUAGCUUUUUGUGUUGCACCCUGUCUCUGAAUUGUUUAAUAUUGUAAGGAAAAAAAUAUUAUUACUGGAAAUUAAUUCCAUGUGUUCUGCUUCGAUCAAAUUAUUUGGAGUUUUCUAAAGUCCCAACGGUCAUGUUAAUCUGCCACAUACCUUUACCAAGAAUGGAAACAGUGAAAUGUUGUAAUAAAAAAGUGUUUCUAUGAA